CAGCCGCCACGGUAAAACGGAGGGUGCAAGCGUUAAUCGGAAUUACUGGGCGUAAAGCGCACGCAGGCGGUCUGACAAGUCAGAUGUGAAAUCCCCGGGCUUAACCUGGGAACUGCAUUUGAAACUGUCAGGCUGGAGUCUUGUAGAGGGGGGUGGAAUUCCAGGUGUAGCGGUGAAAUGCGUAGAGAUCUGGAGGAAUACCGGUGGCGAAGGCGGCCCCCUGGACAAAGACUGACGCUCAGGUGCGAAAGCGUGGGGAGCAAACAGGAUUAGAUACCCGAGUAGUCCCUGUCUCUUAUAC
This 301-nucleotide ribosomal RNA is filed under the name uncultured bacterium. RNAcentral's name for it is "partial 16S ribosomal RNA". It matches the Rfam family "Bacterial small subunit ribosomal RNA", at positions 509 to 807 of the family's 1533-position model. The record is from RNAcentral.